RNAcentral lists this transfer RNA (75 nucleotides) under Candidatus Rokuibacteriota bacterium. Its description in RNAcentral is "tRNA-Ile". It matches the Rfam family "tRNA". From Rfam's summary of the family: Transfer RNA (tRNA) molecules are approximately 80 nucleotides in length. Their secondary structure includes four short double-helical elements and three loops (D, anti-codon, and T loops). The record is from RNAcentral. Lineage: Bacteria; Candidatus Rokuibacteriota.
GGGCCCAUAGCUCAACGGCAGAGCCGCCGGCUCAUAACCGGUCAGAUCCUGGUUCGAGUCCGGGUGGGCCCACCA